This is a small RNA of 76 nucleotides. It matches the Rfam family "Makes More Granules Regulator RNA (mmgR)". From Rfam's summary of the family: SuhB later renamed mmgR (makes more granules regulator) was a putative non-coding RNA found multiple times in the Agrobacterium tumefaciens genome and related alpha-proteobacteria. Other non-coding RNAs uncovered in the same analysis include: speF, ybhL, metA, and serC. Several studies inSinorhizobium meliloti showed that suhB element is indeed a non-coding RNA:firstly it was detected on Northern blot and called Sm8RNA, secondly in an RNAseq study referred to as SmelC689.
UUCCACCGCCCUCCGUGGGCGUUUCCUCCCUGAACUUGGGCCGUGGCAAUCGCCAUGGCCCCUUUUUUUUGCCCCU